RNAcentral lists this ribosomal RNA (271 nucleotides) under uncultured bacterium. Its description in RNAcentral is "partial 16S ribosomal RNA". It matches the Rfam family "Bacterial small subunit ribosomal RNA", at positions 82 to 354 of the family's 1533-position model. The record is from RNAcentral.
UCUAUGUCGGCGGCCGGCGCACGGGUGCGUAACGCGUAUGCAACCUACCCAUUACAGGGGGAUAACACUGAGAAAUCGGUACUAAUACCCCAUAACAUCCAGGGAGGCAUCUUCUUGGGUUGAAAACUCCGGUGGUAAUGGAUGGGCAUGCGUUGUAUUAGUUAGUUGGUGGGGUAACGGCUCACCAAGACAACGAUACAUAGGGGGACUGAGAGGUUAACCCCCCACAUUGGUACUGAGACACGGACCAAACUCCUACGGGAGGCAGCAG